UACGUAGGGUGCGAGCGUUAAUCGGAAUUACUGGGCGUAAAGCGUGCGCAGGCGGUUUUGUAAGCCGGAUGUGAAAUCCCCCGGCUUAACCUGGGAACUGCGUCUGAUACUGGGAGGCUUGAGUAUGGGAGAGGGAUGUAGAAUUCCAGGUGUAGCGGUGAAAUGCGUAGAUAUCUGGAGGAACACCGGUGGCGAAGGCGGCAUCCUGGACCGGCAUUGACGCUGAGGCGCGAAAGCUAGGGGAGCAAACGGG
Molecule: ribosomal RNA, 253 nt
Filed under: uncultured bacterium
Lineage: Bacteria
Description: partial 16S ribosomal RNA
Rfam family: Bacterial small subunit ribosomal RNA
Source: RNAcentral